UCUUCUCUUCUUUGUCAAGGAAUGCUUUACUCUUCAAGGGUUGGUGGAGCUCUUAAUGCCUCUUUUGUCUGCUCAACCACUUCCUUUUAACUCUUGAAUGAAGCACCUUGAUGAAGAAUACUAGGGCUUUUUCUUUCUUGAGUGAACUUUGAUUUUCAUGCACAAGAUCACUUGUUCUGAUGAAUAGUAUCAUUAUAAAUACUUUCCCACAUGUUUAGGUUACUCCCCAUUGGUUAGAUUUGAAAAAAUAUCCGUUACUAGCUGUUGGAAGGUCAAAAAGUACUUCUGCAGAACUAGCCGUUAUGCUUCUGCCCGUGCUGGGGUCGACCCAAACUUUUCUGAGGUCGACUCAAACCACUGUUCAUCAGACUUGGGAUCGACUCAACUUCCAGUGGGGUCGACCCAACUUUCACUGGGGUCGACCCUCUCAGGAAUCACAAAACCUUGUAUUUCAGCUGUUUUUCACUGGGGUCGACUCAACUCUUUUUGAGGUCGACUCAAGCUACAGUGGGGUCGACUCAAGCAUUCCUGGGAUCGGCUCCAUCUGGGGUCGGCUCAAGAAAAGUUGGGGUCGGCCCUCUCAGUAAAUUCCAGAGACUUGUUUUCUUGAGGCUUGAAGCUGGGGUCGACUCAAGCAUACUU
This 642-nucleotide long non-coding RNA is filed under the name Phoenix dactylifera (date palm). RNAcentral describes it as "long non-coding RNA (PDAC_LNC001382)". Lineage: Eukaryota; Viridiplantae; Streptophyta; Magnoliopsida; Arecales; Arecaceae. The record is from RNAcentral.